This 479-nucleotide ribosomal RNA is filed under the name uncultured organism. RNAcentral describes it as "partial 16S ribosomal RNA". It matches the Rfam family "Bacterial small subunit ribosomal RNA", at positions 330 to 800 of the family's 1533-position model. The record is from RNAcentral.
CGUACACUCCUGCGGGAGGCAGCAGUGGGGAAUAUUGCACAAUGGGCGCAAGCCUGAUGCAGCCAUGCCGCGUGUAUGAAGAAGGCCUUCGGGUUGUAAAGUACUUUCAGCGGGGAGGAAGGCGAUAAGGUUAAUAACCUUGUCGAUUGACGUUACCCGCAGAAGAAGCACCGGCUAACUCCGUGCCAGCAGCCGCGGUAAUACGGAGGGUGCAAGCGUUAAUCGGAAUUACUGGGCGUAAAGCGCACGCAGGCGGUCUGUCAAGUCGGAUGUGAAAUCCCCGGGCUCAACCUGGGAACUGCAUUCGAAACUGGCAGGCUAGAGUCUUGUAGAGGGGGGUAGAAUUCCAGGUGUAGCGGUGAAAUGCGUAGAGAUCUGGAGGAAUACCGGUGGCGAAGGCGGCCCCCUGGACAAAGACUGACGCUCAGGUGCGAAAGCGUGGGGAGCAAACAGGAUUAGAAACCCGGGUAGUCCCAUGA